This 253-nucleotide ribosomal RNA is filed under the name uncultured bacterium. RNAcentral's name for it is "partial 16S ribosomal RNA". It matches the Rfam family "Bacterial small subunit ribosomal RNA", at positions 524 to 776 of the family's 1533-position model. The record is from RNAcentral.
UACGUAGGGUGCGAGCGUUAAUCGGAAUUACUGGGCGUAAAGCGUGCGCAGGCGGUUUUGUAAGCCAGAUGUGAAAUCCCCGGGCUUAACCUGGGAAUGGCAUUUGGGACUGCAAGGCUUGAGUGCGGCAGAGGAGACUGGAAUUCCUGGUGUAGCAGUGAAAUGCGUAGAUAUCAGGAGGAACACCGAUGGCGAAGGCAGCCCCCUGGGCUAACACUGACGCUCAGGCACGAAAGCGUGGGGAGCAAACAGG